This 253-nucleotide ribosomal RNA is filed under the name uncultured bacterium. RNAcentral's name for it is "partial 16S ribosomal RNA". It matches the Rfam family "Bacterial small subunit ribosomal RNA", at positions 524 to 776 of the family's 1533-position model. The record is from RNAcentral.
UUCGUAGGGUGCAAGCGUUGUCCGGAUUUAUUGGGCGUAAAGAGCUCGUAGGCGGUUUGUCGCGUCUGCCGUGAAAGUCCGGGGCUCAACUCCGGAUCUGCGGUGGGUACGGGCAGACUAGAGUGAUGUAGGGGAGACUGGAAUUCCUGGUGUAGCGGUGAAAUUCGCAGAUAUCAGGAGGAACACCGAUGGCGAAGGCAGGUCUCUGGGCAUUAACUGACGCUGAGGAGCGAAAGCAUGGGGAGCGAACAGG